AAAUAACCAGCAGCAAAAGAAAACAAAAGGACAACUGAAUGGAAGAAUAUUUAGGAGUAUGAAUGAGUCAAACUACGCAUGUCUACUAAUUUACUACAUAAACACUGACAAAAAUGAAGUUCCCCUGUGCCUUGUCUGUGGAAUAAACAAAAAUAUCAGUAAUACAAUGAAGAAAAUAAAGAAAUAAUGAAAAAAUAAAGAAAGGAUGAGGAAAGAGUCAACAAAAA
Molecule: unclassified non-coding RNA, 227 nt
Filed under: Hevea brasiliensis (rubber tree)
Lineage: Eukaryota; Viridiplantae; Streptophyta; Magnoliopsida; Malpighiales; Euphorbiaceae
Source: RNAcentral